GGGAACUGAAGGUCCACUUGGGAAGAACAGACACCGUCUUGAGACAGGGUCUCUCAUAGCAAUGGCUGUCCUGAGACGGAGAGUGAGUACUUUGUAUACCAGGCUGACUUCAAACUCACAGAGAGGGAAGAGCUACGCCAGAGAGACCAC
Alexandromys fortis (reed vole) is the source of this 150-nucleotide long non-coding RNA. RefSeq lists it as uncharacterized. The record is from RefSeq and is a predicted model, not a curated record. The transcript has 3 exons. Lineage: Eukaryota; Metazoa; Chordata; Mammalia; Rodentia; Cricetidae.